GAUGAACGCUGGCGGCGUGCCUAAUACAUGCAAGUCGAGCGAACGGACGAGAAGCUUGCUUCUCUGAUGUUAGCGGCGGACGGGUGAGUAACACGUGGAUAACCUACCUAUAAGACUGGGAUAACUUCGGGAAACCGGAGCUAAUACCGGAUAAUAUUUUGAACCGCAUGGUUCAAAAGUGAAAGACGGUCUUGCUGUCACUUAUAGAUGGAUCCGCGCUGCAUUAGCUAGUUGGUAAGGUAACGGCUUACCAAGGCAACGAUGCAUAGCCGACCUGAGAGGGUGAUCGGCCACACUGGAACUGAGACACGGUCCAGACUCCUACGGGAGGCAGCAGUAGGGAAUCUUCCGCAAUGGGCGAAAGCCUGACGGAGCAACGCCGCGUGAGUGAUGAAGGUCUUCGGAUCGUAAAACUCUGUUAUUAGGGAAGAACAUAUGUGUAAGUAACUGUGCACAUCUUGACGGUACCUAAUCAGAAAGCCACGGCUAACUACGUGCCAGCAGCCGCGGUAAUACGUAGGUGGCAAGCGUUAUCCGGAAUUAUUGGGCGUAAAGCGCGCGUAGGCGGUUUUUUAAGUCUGAUGUGAAAGCCCACGGCUCAACCGUGGAGGGUCAUUGGAAACUGGAAAACUUGAGUGCAGAAGAGGAAAGUGGAAUUCCAUGUGUAGCGGUGAAAUGCGCAGAGAUAUGGAGGAACACCAGUGGCGAAGGCGACUUUCUGGUCUGUAACUGACGCUGAUGUGCGAAAGCGUGGGGAUCAAACAGGAUUAGAUACCCUGGUAGUCCACGCCGUAAACGAUGAGUGCUAAGUGUUAGGGGGUUUCCGCCCCUUAGUGCUGCAGCUAACGCACUAAGCACUCCGCCUGGGGAGUACGACCGCAAGGUUGAAACUCAAAGGAAUUGACGGGGACCCGCACAAGCGGUGGAGCAUGUGGUUUAAUUCGAAGCAACGCGAAGAACCUUACCAAAUCUUGACAUCCUUUGACAACUCUAGAGAUAGAGCCUUCCCCUUCGGGGGACAAAGUGACAGGUGGUGCAUGGUUGUCGUCAGCUCGUGUCGUGAGAUGUUGGGUUAAGUCCCGCAACGAGCGCAACCCUUAAGCUUAGUUGCCAUCAUUAAGUUGGGCACUCUAAGUUGACUGCCGGUGACAAACCGGAGGAAGGUGGGGAUGACGUCAAAUCAUCAUGCCCCUUAUGAUUUGGGCUACACACGUGCUACAAUGGACAAUACAAAGGGCAGCGAAACCGCGAGGUCAAGCAAAUCCCAUAAAGUUGUUCUCAGUUCGGAUUGUAGUCUGCAACUCGACUACAUGAAGCUGGAAUCGCUAGUAAUCGUAGAUCAGCAUGCUACGGUGAAUACGUUCCCGGGUCU
Molecule: ribosomal RNA, 1372 nt
Filed under: uncultured bacterium
Lineage: Bacteria
Description: bacterial SSU rRNA
Rfam family: Bacterial small subunit ribosomal RNA
Source: RNAcentral